This 323-nucleotide long non-coding RNA is filed under the name Olea europaea (common olive). RNAcentral describes it as "long non-coding RNA (OEUR_LNC004183)". Lineage: Eukaryota; Viridiplantae; Streptophyta; Magnoliopsida; Lamiales; Oleaceae. The record is from RNAcentral.
UUGUGCAGCGGAAUUCCUACCAUGUCAUUUACUUCAAGUCGUCGUUUCACAUGUGCACUCAACUCUCGGUUGCAUCGAUAUAGUCUAGAUUUCGAAGGGCUUGUCUUGUGAUUGUGAUCCAGGUGUACUGUGUUAAUUUUCCAUACUCCAUAAAUAUAUGAACAUCCAGUGAUCCUGACUUUACAUCCACUCUGAAUGGUUGCUUGCGGCUUUAAAGAAUCGCUUGUAUUUAUGAUUCUCUUCCCUUCACGACUACAAACAAAUGUCACAUUUCUCAAUACUCCAUCAUCAUUCUUUCUCGAAUUAUUUUUUUUCUAAUUGGG